The sequence is a transfer RNA, 74 nucleotides long. It matches the Rfam family "tRNA". Rfam says of the family: Transfer RNA (tRNA) molecules are approximately 80 nucleotides in length. Their secondary structure includes four short double-helical elements and three loops (D, anti-codon, and T loops). The record is from Rfam.
GUUUCCGUAGCUCAGUAGGAUAGAGCAACUGCCUCCUAAGCAGUAGGCCGCUGGUUCGAUUCCAGUCGGGAACA